UUUGGUUAAGUUAGAAAGGGCGCACGGUGGAUGCCUUGACACUAGGAGUCGAUGAAGGACGGGACUAACGCCGAUAUGCUUCGGGGAGCUGUAAGUAAGCUUUGAUCCGAAGAUUUCCGAAUGGGGAAACCCACCAUACGUAAUGGUAUGGUAUCCUUAUCUGAAUACAUAGGGUAAGGAAGACAGACCCAGGGAACUGAAACAUCUAAGUACCUGGAGGAAGAGAAAGCAAAUGCGAUUUCCUGAGUAGCGGCGAGCGAAACGGAACAUAGCCCAAACCAAGAGGCUUGCCUCUUGGGGUUGUAGGACAUUCUAUACGGAGUUACAAAGGAACGAGGUAGACGAAGCGACCUGGAAAGGUCCGUCGUAGAGGGUAACAACCCCGUAGUCGAAACUUCGUUCUCUCUUGAAUGUAUCCUGAGUACGGCGGAACACGUGAAAUUCCGUCGGAAUCUGGGAGGACCAUCUCCCAAGGCUAAAUACUCCCUAGUGAUCGAUAGUGAACCAGUACCGUGAGGGAAAGGUGAAAAGCACCCCGGAAGGGGAGUGAAAGAGAUCCUGAAACCGUGUGCCUACAAAUAGUCAGAGCCCGUUAACGGGUGAUGGCGUGCCUUUUGUAGAAUGAACCGGCGAGUUACGAUCCCGUGCGAGGUUAAGCUGAAGAGGCGGAGCCGCAGCGAAAGCGAGUCUGAAUAGGGCGUUUAGUACGUGGUCGUAGACCCGAAACCAGGUGAUCUACCCAUGUCCAGGGUGAAGUUCAGGUAACACUGAAUGGAGGCCCGAACCCACGCACGUUGAAAAGUGCGGGGAUGAGGUGUGGGUAGCGGAGAAAUUCCAAUCGAACCUGGAGAUAGCUGGUUCUCCCCGAAAUAGCUUUAGGGCUAGCCUUAAGUGUAAGAGUCUUGGAGGUAGAGCACUGAUUGGACUAGGGGUCCUCAUCGGAUUACCGAAUUCAGUCAAACUCCGAAUGCCAAUGACUUAUCCUUAGGAGUCAGACUGCGAGUGAUAAGAUCCGUAGUCAAAAGGGAAACAGCCCAGACCGCCAGCUAAGGUCCCAAAGUGUGUAUUAAGUGGAAAAGGAUGUGGAGUUGCUUAGACAACUAGGAUGUUGGCUUAGAAGCAGCCACCAUUUAAAGAGUGCGUAAUAGCUCACUAGUCGAGUGACUCUGCGCCGAAAAUGUACCGGGGCUAAAUACACCACCGAAGCUGCGGAUUGAUACCAAUGGUAUCAGUGGUAGGGGAGCGUUCUAAGGACAGUGAAGUCAGACCGGAAGGACUGGUGGAGUGCUUAGAAGUGAGAAUGCCGGUAUGAGUAGCGAAAGACGGGUGAGAAUCCCGUCCACCGAAUGCCUAAGGUUUCCUGAGGAAGGCUCGUCCGCUCAGGGUUAGUCAGGACCUAAGCCGAGGCCGACAGGCGUAGGCGAUGGACAACAGGUUGAUAUUCCUGUACCACCUCUUUAUCGUUUGAGCAAUGGAGGGACGCAGAAGGAUAGAAGAAGCGUGCGAUUGGUUGUGCACGUCCAAGCAGUUAGGCUGAUAAGUAGGCAAAUCCGCUUAUCGUGAAGGCUGAGCUGUGAUGGGGAAGCUCCUUAUGGAGCGAAGUCUUUGAUUCCCCGCUGCCAAGAAAAGCUUCUAGCGAGAUAAAAGGUGCCUGUACCGCAAACCGACACAGGUAGGCGAGGAGAGAAUCCUAAGGUGUGCGAGAGAACUCUGGUUAAGGAACUCGGCAAAAUGACCCCGUAACUUCGGGAGAAGGGGUGCUUUCUUAACGGAAAGCCGCAGUGAAUAGGCCCAAGCGACUGUUUAGCAAAAACACAGCUCUCUGCGAAGCCGUAAGGCGAAGUAUAGGGGGUGACACCUGCCCGGUGCUGGAAGGUUAAGGAGAGGGGUUAGCGUAAGCGAAGCUCUGAACUGAAGCCCCAGUAAACGGCGGCCGUAACUAUAACGGUCCUAAGGUAGCGAAAUUCCUUGUCGGGUAAGUUCCGACCCGCACGAAAGGUGUAACGAUUUGGGCACUGUCUCAACCAGAGACUCGGUGAAAUUAUAGUACCUGUGAAGAUGCAGGUUACCCGCGACAGGACGGAAAGACCCCGUGGAGCUUUACUGUAGCCUGAUAUUGAAUUUUGGUACAGUUUGUACAGGAUAGGCGGGAGCCUUUGAAACCGGAGCGCUAGCUUCGGUGGAGGCGCUGGUGGGAUACCGCCCUGACUGUAUUGAAAUUCUAACCUACGGGUCUUAUCGACCCGGGAGACAGUGUCAGGUGGGCAGUUUGACUGGGGCGGUCGCCUCCUAAAGUGUAACGGAGGCGCCCAAAGGUUCCCUCAGAAUGGUUGGAAAUCAUUCGUAGAGUGCAAAGGCAUAAGGGAGCUUGACUGCGAGAC
RNAcentral lists this ribosomal RNA (2381 nucleotides) under Bacillus cereus. RNAcentral's name for it is "bacterial LSU rRNA". It matches the Rfam family "Bacterial large subunit ribosomal RNA", at positions 1 to 2381 of the family's 2925-position model. Lineage: Bacteria; Bacillati; Bacillota; Bacilli; Caryophanales; Bacillaceae. The record is from RNAcentral.